Molecule: ribosomal RNA, 476 nt
Filed under: uncultured bacterium
Lineage: Bacteria
Description: bacterial SSU rRNA
Rfam family: Bacterial small subunit ribosomal RNA
Source: RNAcentral
CAAACGCUGGCGGCAGGCCUAACACAUGCAAGUCGAACGAACCCUUCGGGGUUAGUGGCGGACGGGUGAGUAACACGUGGGAACGUACCUUUAGGUUCGGAACAACACAGGGGAAACUUGUGCUAAUGCCGAAUGUGCCCUUCGGGGGAAAGAUUUAUCGCCUUUAGAGCGGCCCGCGUCUGAUUAGCUUGUUGGUGAGGUAAAGGCUCACCAAGGCUUCGAUCAGUAGCUGGUCUGAGAGGAUGAUCAGCCACACUGGGACUGAGACACGGCCCAGACUCCUACGGGAGGCAGCAGUGGGGAAUCUUGCGCAAUGGGCGAAAGCCUGACGCAGCCAUGCCGCGUGAAUGAUGAAGGUCUUAGGAUUGUAAAAUUCUUUCACCGGGGAAGAGUAAUGACGGUACCCGGAGAAGAAGCCCCGGCUAACUUCGUGCCAGCAGCCGCGGUAAUACCGAAGGGGGCUAGCGUUGCUCGGA